AUUGAACGCUGGCGGCAUGCUUUACACAUGCAAGUCGAACGGUAACAGGUCUUCGGAUGCUGACGAGUGGCGAACGGGUGAGUAAUGUAUCGGAACGUGCCCAGUAGUGGGGGAUAACUACUCGAAAGAGUGGCUAAUACCGCAUGAGAACUGAGGUUGAAAGCGGGGGACCUUCGGGCCUCGCGCUACUGGAGCGGCCGAUAUCAGAUUAGGUAGUUGGUGGGUAAAGGCCUACCAAGCCGACGAUCUGUAGCUGGUCUGAGAGGACGACCAGCCACACUGGGACUGAGACACGGCCCAGACUCCUACGGGAGGCAGCAGUGGGGAAUUUUGGACAAUGGACGCAAGUCUGAUCCAGCAAUGCCGCGUGCAGGACGAAGGCCUUCGGGUUGUAAACUGCUUUUGUACAGAACGAAAAGGCUCUAGGUUAAUACCUGGGGCUCGAAUGACGGUACUGUAAGAAUAAGCACCGGCUAACUACGUGCCAGCAGCCGCGGU
RNAcentral lists this ribosomal RNA (498 nucleotides) under uncultured bacterium. Its description in RNAcentral is "bacterial SSU rRNA". It matches the Rfam family "Bacterial small subunit ribosomal RNA", at positions 30 to 521 of the family's 1533-position model. The record is from RNAcentral.